CAGUCACCACGGGAAUACGAAGGGGGCUAGCGUUGUUCGGAAUUACUGGGCGUAAAGGGCGCGUAGGCGGCCAUUCAAGUUAGAUGUGAAAGCCCUGGGCUCAACCUAGGAAUUGCAUUUGAUACUGUUUGGCUUGAGUUCGGGAGAGGUGAGUGGAAUUCCCAGUGUAGAGGUGAAAUUCGUAGAUAUUGGGAAGAACACCAGUGGCGAAGGCGGCUCACUGGACCGACACUGACGCUGAGGCGCGAAAGCGUGGGGAGCAAAUGGGAUUAGAUACCCGGGUAGUCCCUGUCUCUAUACA
Molecule: ribosomal RNA, 301 nt
Filed under: uncultured bacterium
Lineage: Bacteria
Description: partial 16S ribosomal RNA
Rfam family: Bacterial small subunit ribosomal RNA
Source: RNAcentral